RNAcentral lists this unclassified non-coding RNA (371 nucleotides) under uncultured bacterium. Its description in RNAcentral is "contains 16S-23S intergenic spacer region". The record is from RNAcentral.
UCCGAUUUGUCACCGGCAGUCUCCCAUGAGUCCCCGACUUUCUCGCUGGCAACAUGGGACAGGGGUUGCGCUCGUUGCGCCACUUAAGGCAACAUCUCACGACACGAGCUGACGACAGCCAUGCAGCACCUGUGCUAGCCCCUUGCGGACACCGGCUUUCACCGGCUUUAACUAGCAUGUCAAGCCUAGGUAAGGUUCUUCGCGUUGCAUCGAAUUAAGCCACAUGCUCCGCCGCUUGUGCGGACCCCCGUCAAUUCCUUUGAGUUUCACCGUUGCCGGCGUACUCCCCAGGUGGAUUACUUAUCGCUUUCGCUAAGCCGCGUACUGUAUAUCGCACACAGCGAGUAAUCAACGUUUACAGUAUGGACUAC